Molecule: ribosomal RNA, 490 nt
Filed under: uncultured bacterium
Lineage: Bacteria
Description: bacterial SSU rRNA
Rfam family: Bacterial small subunit ribosomal RNA
Source: RNAcentral
AGAGUUUGAUCAGUGGCUCGAGGACGAACGCUGGCGGCGUGCCUAACACGUGCAAGUCGAGCGGGGUCCAUCCGGUAGCAAUACCGGGGAAGACCUAGCGGCGAACGGGUGAGUAACACGUGAGAAACCUGCCCGAAGUCUGGGAUAACCCGAGGAAACUCGAGCUAAUACCGGAUGUCUUCUUCUGAUCGCAUGGUCGGAUGAAGAAAGAUUUAUCGCCUCGGGAGGGUCUCGCGGCCUAUCAGCUAGUUGCGGGGUAACGGCCCACCAAGGCGUCGACGGGUAGCUGGUCUGAGAGGACGAUCAGCCACACUGGGACUGAGACACGGCCCAGACUCCUACGGGAGGCAGCAGUGGGGAAUAUUGCGCAAUGGGCGAAAGCCUGACGCAGCAACGCCGCGUGCGGGAUGAAGGCCUUCGGGUUGUAAACCGCUUUCAGUGGGGACGAAUUCAGACGGUACCCACAGAAGAAGCCCCGGCCAACUACGUG